This 63-nucleotide transfer RNA is filed under the name Ictidomys tridecemlineatus (thirteen-lined ground squirrel). Its description in RNAcentral is "Spermophilus tridecemlineatus (thirteen-lined ground squirrel) tRNA". It matches the Rfam family "tRNA". From Rfam's summary of the family: Transfer RNA (tRNA) molecules are approximately 80 nucleotides in length. Their secondary structure includes four short double-helical elements and three loops (D, anti-codon, and T loops). Further hydrogen bonds mediate the characteristic L-shaped molecular structure. tRNAs have two regions of fundamental functional importance: the anti-codon, which is responsible for specific mRNA codon recognition, and the 3' end, to which the tRNAs corresponding amino acid is attached (by aminoacyl-tRNA synthetases). tRNAs cope with the degeneracy of the genetic code in two manners: having more than one tRNA (with a specific anti-codon) for a particular amino acid; and 'wobble' base-pairing, i.e. permitting non-standard base-pairing at the 3rd anti-codon position. Lineage: Eukaryota; Metazoa; Chordata; Mammalia; Rodentia; Sciuridae. RNAcentral also lists the same sequence under 1 other name. The record is from Rfam by way of RNAcentral.
GGGGGCAUAGUUUAGUGGUAGAGCACUUGCAUGAGGCCCUGGGUUACAUCCCCAGGACCCCCA